GGAGUUAGCCGGUGCUUCUUCUGUGAGUGAUGUCCUUCCUGCCGGCUAUUAACCCGCAGGCCUUCUUCCUCACUGAAAGUGCUUUACAACCCGAAGGCCUUCUUCACACACGCGGCAUGGCUGGAUCAGGGUUGCCCCCAUUGUCCAAUAUUCCCCACUGCUGCCUCCCGUAGGAGUCUGGGCCGUGUCUCAGUCCCAGUGUGGCUGAUCAUCCUCUCAGACCAGCUACGGAUCGUCGCCUUGGUGAGCCGUUACCUCACCAACCAGCUAAUCCGACAUAGGCUCAUCCGAUAGCGCGAGGCCCGAAGGUCCCCCGCUUUCCCCCGUAGGGCGUAUGCGGUAUUAGCCUGGGUUUCCCCAGGUUAUCCCCCACUACCGGGCAGAUUCCUAUGCAUUACUCACACGUCCGCCGCUCGCCACCAGGGAGCAAGCUCCCCGUGCUGCCGCUCGACUUGCAUGUGUUAGGCCUGCCGCCAGCGUUCAAUCUGAACCAAGAUCAAAUUCUGA
This 507-nucleotide ribosomal RNA is filed under the name uncultured bacterium. Its description in RNAcentral is "partial 16S ribosomal RNA". The record is from RNAcentral.